Oryctolagus cuniculus (rabbit) is the source of this 2303-nucleotide non-coding RNA. The record is from RefSeq and is a predicted model, not a curated record. Lineage: Eukaryota; Metazoa; Chordata; Mammalia; Lagomorpha; Leporidae.
UGAUGUCAUAAGAAGGCUUCCAUCACAUGCCAGCAUCUUCAGUAGACUUCUUGCCUCCAGAGCUACAAGGAAGAAAUCUCUAUUCUUAUAAAUCACAGCAGCACAAAAUGGACUAAGACGGGGUGGUGAAGAAAUCCCAGGGAAUCAGCCUGCACUUCGUAGAUGACUGACAGGUGCAUCUUCAUUUCAUUACCAGCUUGCAGUUUGGUAACUCUGUGGGGGAAAUAUAUUUAAAAAACAGUUGAACAUUCGCAUUUGAGCCAGAUCAAGGAGAAUGGAAAGUUCAACUCCGUUCAUCCAUGUCAGCCCCACAGACAAAACAUCCAGCCUUUCAGCUGCAAGCUUCCGUGAAAAGAACUUCUAUCCAGGGUCCCAGGAUGCAGAAAUCCACGCACAGGGAAGACAGAAGCUCAUUUAGCCAAAGGAAGAGUUUCAGACUUCUCCAAAAUGGCAAUUUACACAGAAACUCAGAACACAGUGCUACUUAUUAUUUUGAUAGCAAUGCUACUAUAGUAGUAUUAAAUAUAGUAGUGUUAAAAUAAUGAGGAGGGCUAUUGUUCCAAGACUGUAAAGCAUUGUUUCUCCAAAUGACGCCUGUGCGCCACCUGCAUCAGAAUUGGCUGGGUGGAGUGCCUUGCCAAUUAUCCAGAAGAGUGGGAGAGCUCAGGGCCCUGUGCCCUGGAGUUGUCUGCAUGCCUAUCCUGGCUAGGGAGUGAGAGAGGCUGCCUGCGACUUUUAGCCUAGCAAGGAAGAAGCAAUAGUGGGGAGCAGAGGCACCGGCUCUCACCCUUUUAGAGGCAAGACUCCUGAACUUAUGUGAAGUGAGUCCAGGUGUACCCACCUCACCUAGUUUAAGGUUUGGGACUCUUGUGUCCAGCACAUUGCACCAAACCCCAGCAAGAGGACGUGAGCUGUGGCUUUCUGAGUGACUGGAAACAAAAUGCCCACCAUCUGGAGCUUGGACCUGGGUGGGGAAGCCAAGGAAAGAUCGGAGACACUGCCUGAUUCUACCAGGCAGGGUUGGAAAGAACUAUGCAUUCUCUCAGCUCCACCAACGUGGCUCCCUGGGACCCUGGAAGCAAAGCGGGCUAUGGCAGAGCGAAUGACCUCUAGCAGGAUGAACUCCAAGGACUGCUUCCUAAUAGAGAGGAAAUUUCAAGAGAGGCAGUGGUCACAAUGGCUAGAAGGCAGGCACGCUCAAUGAGAGGCUGCCCUGAGCCUAACACAUUCUUCUCCACCGGCGAAGGUGUGGUACUGUUAGCUCCUCCUGGUAGAGCCACGUCCUGCUCCAUUGCCCAUUACCAUAUGAAAUACUUGAAGCUGUCUACUUUAUAAAGAAAAGAGGUUUCAUGGUUUUGGAGGUCUCAUUUGGUGAUGGCUUUCUACCAGCAAAGUCCUGAAUUGGUGCAAAGCAUCUCAUGGUGAGACAGGGAGCACCUGUACGUAUCUAUAUCCAUGUUUCUCACUCCCUCUGCUUAUAAAGCCACCAGGGUUCAAUCAUGGGAGCCCCAUGCUAGCCAUCUUCUCUAACCCUAAUCACCUCAGAUAGCUGUAAUCUAAAUAUCAGUGAUAUUUGCCCUCACACUGGGGACUAAAUUUCAAUACAUGAAGCCAUGGUGUUGGUGUUGGUGGUGGUACAGGCACACUCAAGCCGUAUCUAAACCAUAGCACGUAGACUCUGGGAAGACCACAGUGGAGGACAGAACCAGGCACCUGACAUCAGGACAAGAUCUCCAAAGGCUGUAGGCACCAGUGCCAGCAGCAGCAAAUAGAUGAGGUUGACUCUUUCUCAUGCUGGAGCAGGAGCAAGUCUCUUUUCUCUAAACCCCGUAUCAAGGACCAAAAUCCCACCCCAGUGGCUACAGCCAAGUGAGGGUUCUGAGGUGAGCUGCUCUAAAGAUACGGAACCACUGAGGAGAACCUGAGUCAAAAACCUCACAGGGGGCCUUGUCGCGUCUCAGGCAGCCAAGUCUUCAUAGGGCAGACGUGGAUGCUAAGCAGACAGUGAAGGCUCAGAAGGCACUAGUCAAGCCUGGAGGGAAAUAAUCCAAGGAGACUGAAGGAGAAGACUGAGCCCUAACAGGCCAGCACACCUGCAGCUGAUAGCAGGUGAGGGCCCAGAGCCAGGGCUGCAAGUACAGGGCUGGGAGAUCACGCUACAGGGAGCCCCCUGGGGCUGGUACCCUGGGGUACCAGGGGCUUGCUUCCGGAGAGAGACACUCAGGGCUGAGUUUUUCCCAGGCCUAUCCCACCCAAGAAGUGAAUGGAAGCCUCUCUGGUUCUCUCUAAAAGGAUUCAGGGAA